UCUGGGAGUGGAGAGGAGGUUCAAAGGCAGUUGGUGGUGGAAAGGAGUCGUCCCCGGGUCUGUUCCGUCCAAACACUGUUGAAGCAAGACACAGAUCCGCGGGACUGGCGCGUGCUUCU
Long non-coding RNA from Dipodomys spectabilis (banner-tailed kangaroo rat), 119 nucleotides. RefSeq lists it as uncharacterized. The transcript has 4 exons. The record is from RefSeq and is a predicted model, not a curated record. Lineage: Eukaryota; Metazoa; Chordata; Mammalia; Rodentia; Heteromyidae.